Non-coding RNA from Cinara cedri, 269 nucleotides. The record is from the annotation of a GenBank genome assembly. Lineage: Eukaryota; Metazoa; Arthropoda; Insecta; Hemiptera; Aphididae.
GCUAAGAGUUUUUAACUAAAAAGUUCAAAUUAGUAGGAAAGAAAAAUUGUAUUUUAUUUAUCGCCUUAUAACUUUAGAGUCAUACUUAGAGAUAUUUUAGUAAGGUAAUUUAUUGAUUUUCCUAGGAGUUUUCUCAAUAACUGAGAAAAAACGGGAAAAUGUAUGAAACGUAGGUAUUGAAACAUAUUACGGCCUUUUUUGUCCCUGUGAACAACUUUUCUACCAUCAAUUUUGCUCUGAUUUACAAUGACAUAAUUUUUCUGAAAGGA